Molecule: unclassified non-coding RNA, 319 nt
Filed under: uncultured fungus
Lineage: Eukaryota; Fungi
Description: partial contains small subunit ribosomal RNA, internal transcribed spacer 1, and 5.8S ribosomal RNA
Rfam family: Eukaryotic small subunit ribosomal RNA (bases 1-73)
Source: RNAcentral
CCAAACUUGGUCAUUUAGAGGAAGUAAAAGUCGUAACAAGGUUUCCGUAGGUGAACCUGCGGAAGGAUCAUUACAAGGAAACGGUGCCCUCGUGGCCCGGUCCUCAAACCACUGUUUACCAAACUUCAUGUUGCCUCGGCGGGCUGGCUCAGGCCCAGCCUGCGCCCCCCGAUGCGCCCGCGCGUCGCGGAACGGCCCGCCGCAGGACCCAUAAAAAAACCAUUCUGUUCGACGAACGUCUGAUGAAACCUUCGCGAAUGCGAUAAAUACAACUUUCAACAAUGGAUCUCUUGGCUCCGGCAUCGAUGAAGAACGCAGC